UGGCUUAUUGCACCACAUGUGUUUUUCUUUGAAACAAACUUGCUUUGGCGGUGGGCCCAGCCUGCCGCCAGAGGUCUAAACUUACAACCAAUUUUUUAUCAACUUGUCACACCAGAUUAUUACUUAAUAGUCAAAACUUUCAACAACGGAUCUCUUGGUUCUCGCAUCGAUGAAGAACGCAGCGAAAUGCGAUACGUAAUAUGAAUUGCAGAUAUUCGUGAAUCAUCGAAUCUUUGAACGCACAUUGCGCCCUCUGGUAUUCCGGAGGGCAUGCCUGUUUGAGCGUCGUUUCUCCCUCAAACCGCUGGGUUUGGUGUUGAGCAAUACGACUUGGGUUUGCUUGAAAGACGGUAGUGGUAAGGCGGGAUCGCUUUGACAAUGGCUUAGGUCUAACCAAAAACAUUGCUUGCGGCGGUAACGUCUACCACGUAUAUCUUCAAACUUUGACCUCAAAUCAGGUAGGACUACCCGCUGAACUUAAGCAUAUCAAUAAGCGGAGGAA
This 502-nucleotide ribosomal RNA is filed under the name Candida albicans. RNAcentral describes it as "eukaryotic LSU rRNA". The stretch from base 135 to 288 matches the Rfam family "5.8S ribosomal RNA". Lineage: Eukaryota; Fungi; Ascomycota; Pichiomycetes; Serinales; Debaryomycetaceae. The record is from RNAcentral.